GACGAACGCUGGCGGCGUGCCUAACACAUGCAAGUCAAAGGAAAGCAGCUUCGGUUGUAAGUACUUGGCGCAAGGGUGAGUAAUGUAUAGGUAAUCUGCCCUUAGGACUGGCAUAACCUCGAGAAAUCGAGGACAAUACCAGAUGAUGCAGCGGGACCGCAUGGUCAUGUUGUUAAAGAUUUAUCGCCUAAGGAUGAACCUAUAUCCCAUCAGGUAGUUGGCAGGAUAAUAGCCUACCAAGCCUACGACGGGUAGCUGGUCUGAGAGGAUGAUCAGCCACAUUGGAACUGAGACACGGUCCAGACUCCUACGGGAGGUAUUUUUUGAGGAAUAUUGCGCAAUGGGCGAAAGCCUGACGCAGCAACGCCGCGUGGAUGAUGAAGUUCUUCGGAAUGUAAAGUCCUUUUGUAGAGGAAGAACAUGUCGGUUUACCGGCACUGACGGUACUCUGCGAAUAAGCCACGGCUAACUCUGU
Molecule: ribosomal RNA, 475 nt
Filed under: uncultured Chlorobiota bacterium
Lineage: Bacteria; Pseudomonadati; Chlorobiota
Description: bacterial SSU rRNA
Rfam family: Bacterial small subunit ribosomal RNA
Source: RNAcentral